This is a long non-coding RNA of Macadamia integrifolia, 746 nucleotides long. RefSeq lists it as uncharacterized. The transcript is spliced from 3 exons. The record is from RefSeq and is a predicted model, not a curated record. NCBI's taxonomy places the organism in Eukaryota, Viridiplantae, Streptophyta, Magnoliopsida, Proteales, Proteaceae.
AUUCUAUUCACCCUUUAGUAAGAGAAAGAAAGGAGAAAGAAGAAGAAGAAGAAGAGAGGAGAAGAAGAGAAGGGAAGAGAGAGAAAUUGCUGUAGAGAUCGAUUUGCUUGGGAGAUUACCAGAGGAUUCAGCAAAAAGGAAUCCCAAAUAGCCAUGAGAGAGAUUCCUCUGCACCAGGAGAGAUUGUGGGCCCUGAUAUUCAUGAUGAGGAGAGCAGUUAGCUGUAGGUUAAUAAUUUAGAGCAUGAUGACGUGGUUAUGGAUCAGUUGGCUUGUAUUAUGGAUUUUAAUGAUUUCAGCCAUGGCCAUGACUGCGAAUGAGACGAUUGUGCAUAUGGUGGACAACAAUAUUGAGGACUGAUGUAGUUGAUUAUCCUUUUGGCGUAUAUAUGUGGACAGUGGUGGAAAUCAGUUUUUGUUGAUAUAGGUUGGAGGGUAAAACUACUAUUGGAAGAUAUUUUGUGUAAAUAUUUGUUUUAGAAUGGGAUGAAUGUAUAUAUAUAUAUAUGGAAUACUAUAUAUGUUGUUGUGAAUCAUUGUAUAAAUGGUAUCAAGUAUCACAUAGAAGCACUGGGUGGAUAUUAUCUUUAUUUGAUUUUAUAUGAUCCAUUGCGAACUCUGAUUAUGAUUUUAGCAUAUAUGGUUGUAGUGUUGUGGACUCUCCUAGAGUAGGAUCCUGGUUUGGUGGGCUGAUUGGGUGUGGUGAGGUAUCCAGUUCCAGCGCAUCUGUGCCAUAUAAAGGGCAAG